Molecule: non-coding RNA, 208 nt
Filed under: Candidatus Yanofskybacteria bacterium GW2011_GWA1_44_21
Lineage: Bacteria; Candidatus Yanofskyibacteriota
Also listed under: 1 other name
Source: RNAcentral
AAACCGUUGUGAAGAAUUAUUUAUUACCACUGUUUUACUAUAAAAUUCCUGACUUUUCCCCGUAACGACUUGUGAGUUUAGCUCACAGAUAGUAAGUGAGGAGACUCCUUCGACUGAAGGAAUCAAAGGCUUACUAUAAAACGCUGGUACCCGAACCGAGCUUAGCUCGGAGGGUAGAGAUAUAGUCUGUGCCCCUAGUGAUAGGGGA